GAGAGACACCAUGUAGCCACUGA
RNAcentral lists this non-coding RNA (23 nucleotides) under Cricetulus griseus (Chinese hamster). The record is from RNAcentral. Lineage: Eukaryota; Metazoa; Chordata; Mammalia; Rodentia; Cricetidae.